GGGCCCGUAGUCGAGCCAGGAUUAAGACACAGAGAAAAUCAAAUCGUGUAUGCCUUCGGAGCUUAUGCGGUGAAAGCCUGGGAUCCGGGGUUCGAAUCCCCGCGGGCCCGCCA
RNAcentral lists this transfer RNA (113 nucleotides) under archaeon RBG_16_50_20. RNAcentral's name for it is "tRNA-OTHER". The record is from RNAcentral.